RNAcentral lists this unclassified non-coding RNA (433 nucleotides) under soil metagenome. RNAcentral describes it as "partial contains 5.8S ribosomal RNA, internal transcribed spacer 2, and large subunit ribosomal RNA". The stretch from base 1 to 120 matches the Rfam family "5.8S ribosomal RNA", at positions 35 to 154 of the family's 154-position model. The record is from RNAcentral.
GAUGAAGAACGUAGCGAAAUGCGAUACGUAAUGUGAAUUGCAGAAUUCAGUGAAUCAUCGAAUCUUUGAACGCAUAUUGCGCUCUCUGGUAUUCCGGAGAGCAUGCUUGUUUGAGUAUCAGUAAACACCUCAACUUCCAUAUCUUUUUUGAAAUGGGAGUUGGACUUGAGUGAUCCCAACGCUUUUCCUCACCGAAAAGUGGCGGGUUACUUGAAAUGCAGGUGCAGCUGGACUUUUCUCUGAGCUAUAAGCAUAUCUAUUUAGUCUGCCUAAAAAACAGAUUAUUACCUUUGCUGCAGCUAACAUAAAGGAGAUUAGUUCUUGUGCUGACUGAUGCAGGAUUCACAAAGACAGGCUUCGGCCGACUUUGUAAACUCGAUCUCGAAUCAAGUAAGACUACCCGCUGAACUUAAGCAUAUCAAUAAGCGGAGGA